AAGUCGUAACAAGGUUUCCGUAGGUGAACCUGCGGAAGGAUCAUUAUUGAUUUUAGCUAACCAUGGCUAUUUUAGCCAUGGUUAUGCGAAAUUUUGUAUUUAAAACCCCACUCUUAUAAUAAAAAUUUAUUAUAUUUAUGAUAAAAAUAAGAUCACUUUCAACAACGGAUCUCUUGGUUCUC
RNAcentral lists this unclassified non-coding RNA (182 nucleotides) under Oehlia diaphana. RNAcentral describes it as "partial internal transcribed spacer region". The stretch from base 1 to 46 matches the Rfam family "Eukaryotic small subunit ribosomal RNA", at positions 1786 to 1831 of the family's 1831-position model. The record is from RNAcentral. Lineage: Eukaryota; Fungi; Glomeromycota; Glomeromycetes; Glomerales; Glomeraceae.